GACGAGGAUCGCGGCGGGUGAGGAAGCAGCGCAACGAGCGGCAGGAUUGUUUCUCCGACUAACCACCAGCGACACGAAGAGUUAUAAUCAUCCAUUGGAUAUAUACACCUAAUAUUGUUGCUUCCCAAAACUAAAAUAAUAUACAUAGUUAUAUUAUUAUAGAGAAUUUCCAGUUAGUCAACUCAGGGCAGCAACCCUGACCGGUAAGUUGUAUUCCGACAGUCAUCGGAAGAAGAAGAAACAUGUUGCGUCCAGUUUCCCAGUUCAAAAAACCAAUACACGUUUGUAUUGCGUUGUUCGAUAGUUCAACGUUCCAUCAUUAUAUUAUUUAUAAUUUUAAUAUAUCGACAAAGGUAAGUAUACAGGUUGGGUAAGUAUGGAAGACCUAAUUUUAUUUCCUUUUUAAAAAACAUUGUUGAAGAAAGAAGAUGGGAUGUACAAAGUUAUUUCGUUCCGAAUAUCGGUUUUUAUUAAAAAAUCUAUUUCUAAACGUUCAAUGUGUUUCAGCUAAUAUGGUA
This is a long non-coding RNA of Bufo gargarizans (Asiatic toad), 518 nucleotides long. RefSeq lists it as uncharacterized. The transcript has 4 exons. Lineage: Eukaryota; Metazoa; Chordata; Amphibia; Anura; Bufonidae. The record is from RefSeq and is a predicted model, not a curated record.